This 425-nucleotide ribosomal RNA is filed under the name uncultured bacterium. RNAcentral describes it as "bacterial SSU rRNA". It matches the Rfam family "Bacterial small subunit ribosomal RNA", at positions 354 to 796 of the family's 1533-position model. The record is from RNAcentral.
GUGGGGAAUAUUGGACAAUGGGCGCAAGCCUGAUCCAGCCAUGCCGCGUGAGUGAUGAAGGCCUUAGGGUUGUAAAGCUCUUUCGCCAGGGACGAUAAUGACGGUACCUGGAUAAGAAGCCCCGGCUAACUUCGUGCCAGCAGCCGCGGUAAUACGAAGGGGGCUAGCGUUGUUCGGAAUCACUGGGCGUAAAGCGCAUGCAGGCGGAUCGAUAAGUCGGGGGUGAAAGCCCGAGGCUCAACCUCGGAACUGCCUUCGAUACUGUCGAUCUUGAGUCCGGGAGAGGUGAGUGGAACUCCGAGUGUAGAGGUGAAAUUCGUAGAUAUUCGGAAGAACACCAGUGGCGAAGGCGGCUCACUGGCCCGGUACUGACGCUGAGAUGCGAAAGCGUGGGGAGCAAACAGGAUUAGAAACCCCAGUAGUCC